GUGAGGAAUAUUGCGCAAUGGAGGCAACUCUGACGCAGCCAUGCCGCGUGCAGGAAGAAGGCGCUACGCGUUGUAAACUGCUUUUAACCGGGAAGAAACCCCAGGACGUGUCCUGGGUUGACGGUACCGGAGGAAUAAGCACCGGCUAACUUCGUGCCAGCAGCCGCGGUAAUACGAAGGGUGCAAGCGUUAUCCGGAUUCAUUGGGUUUAAAGGGUGCGUAGGCGGAGCGUUAAGUCAGUGGUGAAAUCCUGCAGCUUAACUGUAGACUUGCAAUUGAUACUGGCGCUCUUGAGUACGCGUGAAGUGGGCGGAAUGUGCCGUGUAGCGGUGAAAUGCUUAGAGAUGGCACAGAACACCAAUUGCGAAGGCAGCUCACUAAGGCGAUACUGACGCUGAGGCACGAAAGCGUGGGGAUCGAACAGGAUUAGAAACCCGUGUAGUCC
Molecule: ribosomal RNA, 445 nt
Filed under: uncultured bacterium
Lineage: Bacteria
Description: partial 16S ribosomal RNA
Rfam family: Bacterial small subunit ribosomal RNA
Source: RNAcentral